UUGACAAAUUGUACUCCGGAAAUGGGGCAAAUAGUUUUGAACAACUUAAAAAGUGGAUUUUAUUUUAUAAGCAGCAUUGGAAAGUCUCCAGGCAUCAGUGGUCAUCCAGUGUAGCAUUAUAAGGCAUUCGGGUCAAUUCAAGGAGAGCGUGUUCUGUCUGUUAUCAAUGAAGCAUGACCAGAGGAACAUUGCCUGUAAGCUACAGGAAGGCAGUGCUGGCUCUGCUACUGAAAAUGGGGGAUCUGUGAGAAUGACUCACAGGCAGUGUCUAACAUGGCAGCAUUAUAUUGUGAUGUGGCAUCAUCUAAGGCCUCCUAACACAUACCUUUCACCUGCAUCUGGGGUGGUUUGAAGGAUUUCGCUGUUGAUGUCUGUCAAGUCCUCAUCAGACAUUUCUGCAUAGCAACAGGCCAUCUGAAUUCCAAAACAGUGUAUCAGCACAGGAGAUACUGCUCAGUUUUGCAUCUCAAAUUGACAGCAGCCAAAGAUGCAGGUUCAACAUCAAUAGGUCUUCAGUCCUAGAUGGUGCUAUUCGGGGCUUCAAGCGGUUGUCCUACAAUCCCAAAUACCAGAUGUGCAUCAAGUUUUCAGAUGACUUGGGAAUGGAUGAAGAGGCUGUGGACCUUGGUGGCCCAAGGAGGGAAUAUUUACGAUUGCUCAUGGAGGCCUUGGUGCUGUCACCAUUGUUUGAGGGAAGGGACAGCAAAUUGAAUUUGGCCCUGGACAGUUCUGUUAUAUGCAAUAUACUGUAUUUGUAAUAAUUUCUCAAGAUUUCCUAUUAUACCAGCCAUAGUUUUGCAUGUUUCAUUUAAUCUUCUGUUUUGUUUUCAUGUCUAUGUUUUCUCUAGCUUUAAGAGAAGAUCGGUAUUUUAUUGUUGGCUGGGCUAUUGCUGUAAUCCUAGUUCAUGGCAGUCCUCCACCAGGUUUCAUUUCACCAACAUUGUACUCUUGUCUAGUUGAUGGCAUGUCCUCAGUGAAACCUGUCUUGGAAGACAUUGCCGAUGCUGACCUCUAUGAGGAGGUUAAAAAGCCCCUGAUGUUUCGGGCUCAGCCCCUGAUGUUUUCAAAUCCUAGAAACGCCCCUGAUUAUAGUGAAGUGUGCCGGAAGCUGCCUCUUGCAGAACAGCAGAACGAUCUCCAUUCAGAGGCUGACCCCCUGAGGUCACCAAAAAGAGAAAAAAAAGUACUUCAACUUGGAUUGAUGGGUGAAGUGGAUGAGAAGGACAGGAAUUUUGAGGCAGGUGAUCGAAAAUGAGGCCAAAACAUCACCUUUUCAAAGUUGGGACUAUUUAACAGGAGAAAGCCGCUACUGCGCCCAUGCCACAAAAAGGCCUGCUUUCAGUUCACCAGACUACACCUAGUCAAGCCUCACAACUUCUGGAGCAGAGUCAUUUGGAGUGAGGAGACCAAAAUUGAACUUUAUAGUCACAACCAUAAUUGCUAUAUUCAGAGAGGAGCCAACAAGGCCUACAGUGAAAAGUACACCAUCCCCACUGUAAAGCAUGGUGGUGGGUCUCUUAUGUUUUGGGGCUUUGUUAGCUCCAGUGGCACAGGGAAGUUAGUCAAAAUUGAUUGCAAGAUGAAUGCAGCAUGUUAUUAGAAAUUUCUGGCAGACAUUUGCAUUGUACAGCACAAAAGCUACACAUGGGAUGCUCUUGGAUGUUCCAACAUGACAAUGAUCCAAAGCACAAGGCCAAGUUGACUCUCCAAUGGCUACAGCAAGAAAAGGUUCUGGAGUGGCCAUCACCAUCUCCUGACCUCAAUAUCAUUGAGACACAUAGGCAGGAACUGGAGUCAAUUUGCCAAGAAGAAUUGGAACUCAUGCACAUUUAUUACAAAAGACUGCAUAAAGGGGGCAAUAAACGAUAUCAAGGUAUGCAAACUUUUGAACUGGGAUCAUUUUCUUUAUCGUCAUGUUUUUGUUUGAUGAUUGUGCCAUUCUGUUUUACCUUAAAUAUGAAC
Molecule: long non-coding RNA, 1962 nt
Organism: Hemibagrus wyckioides
Lineage: Eukaryota; Metazoa; Chordata; Actinopteri; Siluriformes; Bagridae
Exons: 5
Source: RefSeq, a predicted model, not a curated record